This 253-nucleotide ribosomal RNA is filed under the name uncultured bacterium. RNAcentral describes it as "partial 16S ribosomal RNA". It matches the Rfam family "Bacterial small subunit ribosomal RNA", at positions 524 to 776 of the family's 1533-position model. The record is from RNAcentral.
UACAGAGGGUGCGAGCGUUAAUCGGAAUGACUGGGCGUAAAGGGCGCGUAGGUGGAUAAUUGUGUUGGAUGUGAAAGCCCCGGGCUUAACCUGGGAAUGGCAUACAAAACUGGUUAUCUAGAGUGGAGCAGAGGUGAGUGGAAUUUCCGGAGUAGCGGUGAAAUGCGUAGAUACCGGAAGGAACACCAGUGGCGAAGGCGACUCACUGGGCUUUUACUGACACUGAGGCGCGAAAGCGUGGGGAGCAAACAGG